GUGGGGAAUCUUCCGCAAUGGACGAAAGUCUGACGGAGCAACGCCGCGUGAGUGAAGAAGGUUUUCGGAUCGUAAAGCUCUUUCGUUAGGGACGAACGUGCUCUUUGUGAAUAAUGAGGAGUAAUGACGGUACCUAAAUAAGAAGCCACGGCUAACUACGUGCCAGCAGCCGCGGUAAUACGUAGGUGGCAAGCGUUGUCCGGAAUUAUUGGGCGUAAAGCGCGCGCAGGCGGGAUAUCAAGUCUGUCUUAAAAGUGCGAGGCUCAACCUCGUGAGGGGACAGAAACUGGUAUUCUUGAGUGUCGGAGAGGAAAGUGGAAUUCCAAGUGUAGCGGUGAAAUGCGUAGAGAUUUGGAAGAACACCAGUGGCGAAGGCGACUUUCUGGACGAAAACUGACGCUGAGGCGCGAAAGCCAGGGGAGCGAACGGGAUUAGAUACCCUUGUAGUCC
RNAcentral lists this ribosomal RNA (450 nucleotides) under uncultured bacterium. RNAcentral describes it as "partial 16S ribosomal RNA". It matches the Rfam family "Bacterial small subunit ribosomal RNA", at positions 354 to 796 of the family's 1533-position model. The record is from RNAcentral.